AUUGAACGCUGGCGGCAGGCCUAACACAUGCAAGUCGAACGAGUGGCGGACGGGUGAGUAAUGUCUGGGAAACUGCCUGAUGGAGGGGGAUAACUACUGGAAACGGUAGCUAAUACCGCAUACCAUCAGAUGUGCCCAGAUGGGAUUAGCUAGUUGGUGGGGUAACGGCUCACCAAGGCGACGAUCCCUAGCUGGUCUGAGAGGAUGACAGGCAACACUGGAACUGGGAAACGGUCCAGACUCCUAGGGGGGGCAGCGGUGGGGAAUAUUGAACAAGGGGGGCAAGCCUGAUGCAGCCUUGCCGGUGGUAUGAAGAAGGCCUUGGGGUUGUAAAGUACUUUCAGCGGGGAGGCGUUACCCGCAGAAGAAGCACCGGCUAACUCCGUGCCAGCAGCCGCGGUAAUA
Molecule: ribosomal RNA, 405 nt
Filed under: uncultured bacterium
Lineage: Bacteria
Description: partial 16S ribosomal RNA
Rfam family: Bacterial small subunit ribosomal RNA
Source: RNAcentral